This 616-nucleotide long non-coding RNA is filed under the name Salvia miltiorrhiza (redroot sage). RNAcentral describes it as "long non-coding RNA (SMIL_LNC007709)". Lineage: Eukaryota; Viridiplantae; Streptophyta; Magnoliopsida; Lamiales; Lamiaceae. The record is from RNAcentral.
AAAAAAAUAAUAUAGCCAAAGGGUUCAAAACGCAUCCAAAAUUAUAAUUUUCAGAAGCGCCGUUUAAGAUGGCCAAUCUCCAUUUGCGAAGGUGUAAAUUAAGUGUUAGAGAGGUGUCGUUCAAGACCGCUUCCUCUCCGCUGGGAACCUUCGCGUUUCCAAUAUCCAUCACAGAAUAAAUUGAAGAUCUAAUCAAUCGAAAAAGGAAAAUUAAAACGAAAAAUAUCUGAAGAUAUGGAGAACCUAACCGAAACAAACAGAUCCGGAUCGGCGAUCAAAAUUCAGCAAUUGAAUAUCUAUUUCCGAAGGUAAACUUGACAGAAUCGGCAUUCACAUAAACGCCUCUCGUCUAUAGGUCCUUCGAUUUCAUGGAUAGAGUUUUAGCAACGAAAUUAGAAAUUUGCAGUCGAUGCAAAUUGAAAAUUAGGGGAAAAUUGAAAGAAAUUGCUCAGUGAAUACGAACCAAAUAGAAUCAUUCACGCCGCGGCAAGAGAUGCUGCAAUCGGGAUCUAGGUAAUUCUCUUCAUCACAGAUUUAAACAUUUUCAAAAUUAUUCAACGAGAAAUAAAAGGAAACAAAAACAAUGAAUGACUGCAAAGGAAAGAAACGAAAUCUG